RNAcentral lists this long non-coding RNA (6307 nucleotides) under Medicago truncatula (barrel medic). RNAcentral's name for it is "long non-coding RNA (MTRU_LNC002256)". The record is from RNAcentral. Lineage: Eukaryota; Viridiplantae; Streptophyta; Magnoliopsida; Fabales; Fabaceae.
AGGUGUUGGCUUUGGACAUGAGUCGUGAAUACUAUGAGAUGGGAUUGCCCAUUAUUGAAAAAGCUGGAGUGGCUCACAAGAUUGACUUUAGACAAGGACCUGCUCUCCCUCUUCUUGAUCAACUUCUUCAAGAUGUGCGUACAUCAUUUCUCACCAACAUGAUUAAUUUGAUUUUAUCCAUGCACGUUUUACAAACUUAGAAUAAAAAAAUACUCCAUUAAUUUUGUAGGAAAAUAACAAGGGGGCAUUUGACUUUAUUUUUGUGGAUGCUGACAAGAAUAACUACAUAAACUAUCAUAAGAGGGUGCUUGAUCUUGUGAAAGUUGGAGGAUUGAUUGGAUAUGAUAAUACCUUAUGGGUUGGAUCAGUGGCAGCUCCAGAUGAUGCACCUAUGCAUAGUUUUAUUAUGAAUUUACGUGGUUAUGUGAUUGAGUUCAACAAGUAUUUAGCUCAAGAUUUAAGGAUUGAAAUUUGUCAGCUUUCGGUAGGUGAUGGAAUUACCUUAUGUCGUCGCAUCUAUUGAUCUCUCCUUCUUGGCAAUUUGUUUGCAUUGAGAAUAUUUGGAUUUUUAUCAUAAGUAUUUAAACUUUUAAUAAAGCUAUGGCUCAUGGUAUGUAUAACAACAACAAUAGACGACGUGGAUUAUGAUUGAAAUAAAUUUUUAUAGAUUUUUAAUUUAUAAAAAAUCCUAGAGUUUGAAUUAAUUUUAAAGAGAAUAAUAAUAUAUAUGAGAAGAUUCGAGUGUAUCAAAUUUAUUGCUUGGAGUUUGAAAUAAUUUUAAGUUUUAUAUAUAAUGAGUUUGAAUCUUUUUGGUGUUAUUCCUUCGAUUCAUAGGAAUAUUGGGUUUUAGUAAUUCGAAGUUCUAUUGAGAAAUAACUAAAGUCCGGUCAAAAAUUGUUUCAUCUAUAUUGUGUUUCAAAUUAGGAUUAAUGAAGAAAAGUAAUUUGACAUCUGGUGACUGUAAAUAUUAACAAAAAGUUGUAUGUUUGCUUGACUUAGGGAUUAACGAACUAGUAAUACUUCCGACCGUUAUGAAUCGACUUAAGAGAUUAAGGGAUUAUAAUUUAAGAAAGGGUUUUGACUCAAAAGAUUGAUCAAAACUAUUGUGUUAAUUCAACGUAAAACUAGGUCAACAUUGAGAAAGAAAAUGUGCAAAUUAUUUUACACUAAGCAAUAGAGGAUUUGAUGGCUGAUCAUUUGUUUAAUCUAAUCUUCAAACCAUCUUAUCAGUAAAUAUUUGAUUAACAUGCUUAAUCAACGUAGGGAUUAGGAUGCUCUAUGAACUUUUGUUUGGAUGGUUGGAGAUAAAAUUACAUAAUGAUAAUGUUUUUUAAAACAAGGGUAAAAGUAAAAUAAAAAUAUAUAAUUUGUUCCGUUCUGUUCAUUACCCAAACACUGGAAUGAAAAUAAUCAUAUAAUAUUCAAAUAGUGGGAUGAAAUCUUUAUUCCAUUAUGCUCCAUUAUAUUCAAUUUCGCUUUACUGCAUUAUGUUCCAUCAAUCCAAACUAGGUCUAAAGAAGAAAUGAAGAGGAAAAAUGAUAGAGUAAACCACCAAAUUGAUCUUUGUAAGUCACUCUCAAAUUAGUCAUUGAUUCUAUUAAUAUUUUAAAAUAGUCUUUGUUAAAAGUUUCUCAAUUAAGUCACUCGUCAUGUGACAAAAAUAUAUAGACAGAGAUCUAGUUGAGAAACUUUGAUAAUAUUUCAAAAUAGUCUCUGUCUUGAUCAAAAGUUUCUCAAUUAAGUCUUGUCAUGCGACAAAAACAUAAAGACAAUGAUCUAAUUGAGAAACUUUUGACAAAGACAGUGACUAUUUUAAAAUAUUAAUAGAGUCAUAACUAAUUUAAAAGUGAUUUAUAAAGACAGAGACUAAAUCGAUGGUUUCCUAAAAAAAAAAGAAGAGGAUUAGAAGGGAGGGAGAGAGAGAAAAGAGAAAGAGAAAGAGGACUAAUGUUGGAUGAACUCUAAAAUUAUUUUGGACAAAAUGGUUACGUAAUAUACUAAUAUUGCAUUAACAUAGUAGAUUGUCACGUAAGCGGUUCACAUAUCACUUCAUCCACUCUAAUGGAAAAAUAAAUGGAUUUACUAUUUUGAUAGACACAGUUCAAUUUAAGAAGCAUUUUUACAAUUUUAGCAAAUCUUGGCGAAUAAAAUUCUAAAUCUUUACAAUGCAAUUUUUCUUUUUGAUUUUAAGAAGUAAAAAUGGAAUUUAUUAAAAUCACAAUGAAUUCUAACCAGCACAAGGAAUGUUAGAUUAUGAGUCACAAAAUAGAACAUACAAAGAAAAACAAAAGUUGUACUAAAACUCUUGCACCAAAAUUAUUAUUCUUAUUGUUUUUAAAAUACAUUCUUCUCUGCUUAACUUUCAUAUCGUAUCCAUCACAAUUAUUCACUAUACAAGUUUCCUUCUCCUCCCUUUCAAAAAAAAAAAAAAGUUUCCUUCUCUUUAUUAACAAUUUAAGAAACACAAAAUUAUAAAAAAUGAGAACUAAAUAUUUUUAUUAAAAAGUAAACGGACCUAAGCUACUUACCACAUACAAGACCAAGUUCCUUACUACCUAACCUCCCCUGGAGGCCUGGACAACUAGUUAUAUAUUCCUUUAAUUUUUUGGUCCUUGCUACCUAAUUUCUGUAUCUGUUGGACAUGAGCUAAUAUAUGCUUUAUUUAUCUUUUUAUUCUGUGAGCAACCUAGUGCCUCCCACGUUUAUAAGAUUUACAAAUGUUCAAUGAAUAUCAUUGAAUGAUAUUUUCCUUCAAAAAAAAUAAAAAAUGAUUGAAUGAUAUUUCAUUUUCUAUUUACUAUUAGCAUAGCAGUUAACUAAAGAACUUUAUUUUCCAACAUGUCUCCCUGGCUUUGGUUGACAACAACACUGGCCUAUAUGAUUUUUCAUGGAAAAGAAUCUAUUAUAGGUGAGCAAAUUGGUAAUAUUUUAAAGUUUGAUUGGAUGCGUUUUUAUUUUUUUUAAAAAUCAAAUUAAUCCACUGAAAUUGUUAUUGAAGAUAAUCGAACAUGAUACUUUACACUUUAAGAUUCUAGUCAACACCAUUAAACAAACACAAAUAGAUUGGAUGCGUUUUUAUCUAUCAUCUAAUCAUUUAAUAUUUGUGUCAUUUUCUAUAUUUAAUAUUUUUCAAAUAAAUUUAAGUUUUUCUUUUAAGUGUACACUCAAUCAAAUUUCAGAAUAUAUCAAAGAAAUUUUCUGUUAUCCGGCUACUUCUUACCAACCGAGCCUUCUUAGCUGUACGAACAUUUUUUUAGAUAUUACUUUAAAUUAUACUCCCUCCGUUUUAGUUUAAUUGAACAAUUUUCUCAUUUCACACAGAUUAAGAAAAAUGUAUAAAUGAAAGAGAAAAAAAAAAGAAUUUGAGUGUCUUUAUCAAGUAUUGGUGCAUUCUUCUUUAUCAUAAAUGUAAAGUAGAAUAUAUUGAAUUGAGAGUGGUGAAAGUAGUAUUAAUUAGAGUUAUAAAAGGAAAAAAUAGUUAAUAUUAUAUUGAAAAGUGAAAUGGCUCAAUUAUUUUGUGACAUUUUUUUUUUUUGUAAAUGACUCAGUUAUUAUGGAACGGAGGGAGUAUCGGUUAAUGAAAAUGAAAGGAUUUGUAUAUUUCAAACGUUGAUCGAUUCAGUUAAAAAAAAAUUAGCUCUUAUUUUACGAGUUCAGACAACCAGUAUAAAAAUCUCGUUAGUGUCUGAUAUGUAAAUAUCUUUGUCGGCAUAUAUGAACUUUGAAACCUACUUCCAAGAGUUUGUGAAUCCAACCACAUAAACUUUUUUUAAAAAAAAUAUAUAAUUUUUUUUUAUGGUACCUACCUCACUCUUAUCUAUAAAUUGGACACCUUUUUGGAGCUUUAUUCUUCAUCAUCGAGAGUGGUUUCAUAGUCAGAAAAAAUAUUAAGACAAGAACACAAGAGAUGGCUAUCAAUAAUGGAGAGGAACAACAAAACCAAAUCAUUGGACACACAGAUCUUGCUCACAAGACUCUCCUUCAGAGUGAUGCACUUUAUCAGGUUCACUUUCUACAAGACCACAAUUAUUAUCUAUUUUAAUUUAAUAAUUUUUUUUUGAGACAUAUAGAAAUUUCACAUAUUGCACUAAUCUUUGCUUACUUAUAGGAAAUCUUGUUCAAGAUUUUUACUAGUUGCAAUUUAAACUCAUCAAUUGCUAAGUCUCUUAUAUUUGCUAACACUUAAAUUUUGCUUUGUCAUAAAAAAAAUAAAAAAACUUGUGCAGUAUAUACUUGACACAAGUGUGUUUCCAAAUGAACACCCUUGCUUGAAGGAGCUUCGUGAGAUGACAGAAAAACAUCCUCGGUAAGAUCAUACUUUAAUUGUUUGUCUCUCCUUAUAAAGAAAGAAAAAAACAAUUUUGUGUGUUCCAUAAUAAGUACUGAAUGCUAAUUUGGGAAUGCUUAUUUAGUUAUUUUGACUUGUUUAAACUUUAAAGUUAGUGGAUGGAUAUAUAUUUACUUUAAUAAGGAUAACGCAUAAAAUAUGCAAAGUCCGCGGUUCAAAUCUCCGACUAUCCAAAAAAAAAAAACAAAGUAAAGGAUAGUGAUAAUUGCUCAUUUAAUAAUUAAGAUUAUGAUUAUCCUCUAUAAAAAUUAAGGUUAUGAUCAAAUACAUUUUUUUUUUCAGUAACUAUAUUAUUGAUGCAAAAAUAUAUACUAGCACUAGUUUUUUCUUUUACACCUAUACUUGUACUAUAUAUAUGUAAUAAAUUAUGACAUUAUGAAAUUUGUUCCAACCUCAAAUCACAUUUUCAAAGCAUUCUCCAUUUUGUGAUCUUGUGCAAAGACCACACAAUUUUGUGACUUUGUAAAAGGUGACUAAUUAAUUGAUGGAGAAGUAUGGAUGUUUGUUUAUAAAUUGAGUUUAGUCUCAAUUUUGUGACUUUACACCAAUGUUUCGACCUCAAGCCAUAUUUAUUAAGUAGUGUAUGAUUUGGGGUAUUGUGCAAAACCUUCACGGUUUAUUAUGUAAAAGACAUCUCACAUACCCAGAUGUGUUAGUGUUGUUCAUAAAUUAACUUUAGCCUUCAAUUUCAAGCAAAGGAAGACUUUUUGUUGUAUCAAAAGACUGGACGGGGACAAAAUUAUCAAUAUAUUUUUGUUGUAACUUUAGCUUCUCAGAAAGACUAUUAAUUAAUAAUAUACAUGAUGUAAACAUAGGAACCUUAUGGCCACACCUGCUGAUGAAGGACAACUUAUAAGGAUGUUGAUUAAGCUCAUCAAUGCAAAGAACACAAUGGAAAUUGGUGUCUACACUGGUUACUCUCUUCUCUCCACUGCUCUUGCUCUUCCUUCUGAUGGAAAGGUAAGGCUCGACCUUAUAAAAUAUAAUUAAAUUUUACUAUUGCACUGCAUAUUACUGUCAUUGUAAUUGUGAUAUUUAUUUUAUUUAGUUAGGAACGGAGAGACAUUAUAUUCCCUAAUGAAAUUCAUACCAAUAAUAAAAAUAAUAAUAUUGUUCGUCAAACAUCUAAGACCAUCUCCAAUGGGAGGGUCUUAAACAUUUAAAACCCGGUACCUAUUAGGUAUCUCCAUUGGGGUGAAUUUUUUUUAAGGUCUUAUAAGACUCGGGGUCUUAUUAAGACCCCAACUUUAAGUAGGGCCCGCACUUUUUAAUAUUAAAAAAUUAAAAUGUAAUGAUAUAAAGUUAUUGAUAGUUGAUUAGUGGGUUUCAUUUAAGAACUUUGUGUGAGAUCUGAGUUGGAGGGAUUUAAUACUUAUUAGGUACUAAUAUUAAAAAAUUAUAAAUGAGUGAUGUGUACGCGUGAGACCCAUUUAAGAACCUAAAAAUGGGUGUCUCCAUUGUGUUUCAUAAGAACAUUAAAAACGGAGUCAUGUGAUGAUGACAUAGCGAACCACUCUUCCGUUUUUUACUAAAAAAAAAAAAAAGAGUUGUUAAAAUCUUAAAUUAAAUAGGCUGAAGUUUGUUAAGAAUUGAUAUUGAACGGCACAUAAUUAUUAUUAUUUUUGUUUAAGUAAGAAGGAAUACAUAUAUAAUUAAAAUUAAAUAUCCUCCUAACUAAUCAUCAUGAAAUAAUGAUUAACUCAUGAUUGAUGAUUAAUUUUAUCAGGUAUUGGCUUUGGACGUGAGUCGGGAAUACUAUGAGCUGGGAUUGCCAAUAAUUGAAAAAGCUGGAAUUGCUCACAAAAUUGACUUUAGAGAAGGACCUGCUCUCCCUCUUCUUGACCAACUUAUUCAAGACGUGCGUUUGCAUCAUUUGCCACCAACUUUAUUUCAUCCAUGCACGUUUUACAACCUUAGGAUAAAAAAAAUUAAUUGAAUUGGUGUCCAUUAAUUUUGCAG